GUGUUGCAUCACAAUCCCCUGUGGGAUUCCUGUUGCUAAGGGCUAGGCUAUUAGGUCGUGGGUGGUGGUGGUUGAGGCCCAGAAGAGAGAGAGGCCAAGCAUUAUACCAUUCACUUAUGAAAGACCAUCUCCUUCGCUAGCGUCUUGCCAAAUGCAAGGCGGUUCUUUUAAUGAGAUUCAGAAGCAAUACAAACACAAGUGAGUGAGAAGAUUAAAGAUUUUAUUCUAAACAGCAAGCAUUAUAUAAAUUACCAAGCAAGCACCUCGAUCUGCCACUGGGAAGUCCUCAAGAAGUGGCAAAGUGACCCCGAGGUAGCCUCAGGUUGCACGAGCUUCUGAGAGCUAUGCCCCCAAACCAUUUGAUUUAUAGAGAGCUAGAUUGUUAGCCUACGUGCCUUGCCCAACUAGCUAGUGCAGAUUAUUAAUUAGCUAGCCCCUCUUCCAAUACUGCACGUUCCUCCAAACAAUGUUUAACAUCAAAGGAGGUCAGAAGGUGCCCUGCAUUAUCACUUCUUCCUUCCACCAGAUUAUACAUUAAAGGCUGCUCUCAGCCAUCAAAGAGUAGAACAAGAGAUAGAGGGGAAAUAAACAGAAGCAGGAAGAGAUGACCAUGUCAGGUCACUUAUCUCCUCAAAAUACAAUUGUCCUCCAGAUGGAUUGCCCCUACAACUAGACCCUCUCAGACAUUUAGAUCCUCAUUGGGGUCCCUCUUGCCAGUUCCAUCACCCUCAAGAGUGGAAGCCCCUAAGCUGUGGAAUUUCCUUCCCAAAGAAGAAGAAGAAGAGGAGGAGGAGGAGGAAGAGUUUGGAUUUGAUAUCCCACUUUAUCACUACCUUAAGGAGUCUCAAAGUGGCUAACAUUCUCCUUUGCCUUCCUCCCCCACAACAAACACUCUGUGAGGUGAGCGGGGCAGAGAGACUUCAAAGAAGUGUGACUAGCCCAAGGUCACCCAGCAGCUGCAUGUGAAGAAGUGGAGACACGAACCCGGUUCACCAGAUUACGAGUCUACCGCUCUUAACCACUACACCACACUGGCUCUCCCACAGAGAUGUGUGUGGCAUCUUCUCUCUCUCUCUCUCUCUCUCACACACACACACACACACACACAACCUAUUCUCCUGAUUAUGAAUCAUUUUAUUUUAUUUUUAUUUUCAGAUUGUAAGCUGCCCUGGAUCUUAUGGUGCAAGUUAAUAAGAAAGCCAAAGAAUAUAUAUAUUUCAGUGGUCUUACAUGGGAGAAAAUAACGAGUGCUGUUGGGUACACCUCUGGGAUGGGAGCUAAGCUACUUCUGGCCUCUUAACAGCAUCCUGGGUAGCCUCUUGAAGAUGAAGGCUAUCUGCAUGGUCUCAUCAUUGUGUUUAUGUUUUCCCCUGGUAGUGCUACAGCAAGAGGCAAUUUUUCAAACUGGCAGAGAGAGGGAGGGAGAGAGAGAGAGAGAGAGAGAGAGAGAGAGGUGUCAAUGCAGAUGCUUGUCCAUUUUAACACUACAUUGUGUGGGGCUGCAAAAAUACCUGGACCACAUCAUGCCUUUACUCCGGUAAGCGAUUAGAGAUGCACCUGCUACAACCCUCCAUAAACAUUUCCCCUUGAUUUUCUUUGCUCUCUUCUGCCUCUCUGAAACUGGUAUCAAUUUUUUUUGUUAUGCCGCUUCCAAAAUCCAUUAUAUUGAACCAUCUGUGAAUAACAAGUACAGGAUGACCCACUUCUGCUGUAUAGCCGUUCUGCUAAUUAUCUACAAAAAUAUGGAUGGGUCGCCUGCUGUUGAAAUUGUUAUCAGGCACCAGAAGGUAAUUCUCAGUAGUAAGGAGGAAAUGGUUGGGAGACAUUAAAGAGCCAGCUACUUAAAAACAUCUCUGGGUACUUCGUCUUUCAGCAGAGUCUAAAAGGAUGCUUGUAACUAUGCAAAAGGAGAAGCAGACCUGUGGGCUUGUUGCACCAAUGGCUUCAUUUUGGAGCCUCUAUUUUACACUGCCAAAGACAAACACCCAAAGCAAACCUUCCCACACAAACUGUUGUAAUUGAACAAUGUUGGUUAUGAUUCAUGUGCAAGUUACAUCUAGCUGCUAGGUGAGAAACAAUGUGAUUCCCCCCCCUUUCUGUCCCUUAUAUUUCAUAGAAUCAUAGAAUUGUAGAGUUGGAAGGGUCAUCUAGUCCAACCCCCUGCAAUGCAGGAAUCUUUUGCCCAAUGUAGGACUCAAACCCAGGACCCUGAAAUUCAGAGUCUCAUGCUCUACCAACUGAGCUAGAACCUAUUCCAAAAUGUAGCAGUGCCAUUCAUAUAACACUGACAUAAUAUGUAGUAGAAAGGUUAUUGAGCUACACCUGAAACAAUUUCACUUCAGAGAUUUCCUUUGAAAAUUUGGAUACCAAAUGUUUUUGUUCAGAUUCCUGCACUGCAGGAAUCUACGAUUUGAAAUAGUCUAAAAGACUGUGCGUCAACAUCUGGUAUCCUUAUCAUGGACUCUGAACAUGUUUGUAUAUGUAUUUUUUCCUUUAUCUUUACAGUGGCACCUCAGUUUUCAAAGGUAAUCUGUUCUGGAAGACUGUUCGAGUUCUGAAACGUUCAAAAACCGAAAACUCAAUACGGAAGCCUCAAAACGAAAAACUCAAUAUGGAAAACUCAAUAUGGAAGCUGUGUGGCAUGUUCGACUUCCAAUAUGUUUUUGAAGCAUAUACCUCUGGGUUUAUGCCGUUCGAAAACCGAAAUUUUCAUCAACGGAGACGUUCGAAUUUUGUUUUCUU
Non-coding RNA from Podarcis lilfordi (Lilford's wall lizard), 2742 nucleotides. The record is from the annotation of a GenBank genome assembly. NCBI's taxonomy places the organism in Eukaryota, Metazoa, Chordata, Lepidosauria, Squamata, Lacertidae.